ACGUUCGGAGUUGCAGCCUGCAACUCGGCUGCAUGAAGCUGGAAUCGCUAGUAAUCGCAGAUCAGAAUGCUGCGGUGAAUACGUUCCCGGGUCUUGUACACACCGCCCGUCACACCAUGGGAGUUGGGAAUGCCCGAAGUCAGUGACCCAACCGCAAGGAGGGAGCUGCCGAAGGCAGGCUUGAUAACUGGGGUGAAGUCGUAACAAGGUACC
Molecule: ribosomal RNA, 213 nt
Filed under: uncultured bacterium
Lineage: Bacteria
Description: partial 16S ribosomal RNA
Rfam family: Bacterial small subunit ribosomal RNA
Source: RNAcentral